This is a small nucleolar RNA of Cynocephalus volans (Philippine flying lemur), 121 nucleotides long. RefSeq annotates it as U8 small nucleolar RNA. The record is from RefSeq and is a predicted model, not a curated record. The transcript has a single exon. Lineage: Eukaryota; Metazoa; Chordata; Mammalia; Dermoptera; Cynocephalidae.
CCACAAGCCAGGAGAAAAUAUUUGGAAAACAUAUAUUUGAAAACAGACGUGGUUCGCAUGAUACGUGAUUAACGUCUCUGUGUAAUGAGGACUUGCAACACCCUAAUUGCUCCUGUCUGAU